UCCUCUUAAAUUUUCUUCCAUAUUCCACACUUUCUUUUGCUUCUUACGCCAUCAGAUGGCACCUUGGGAUGUAUGGAUGCAGAAGAGAAGGAAGAGUCCUUUUCUAUGAAGGAACUCACAUGCCAAAAAUAAUGGAAUGCCCACUUUAUUUAUGUAUUGAAAGAAGGAAGAGUCCUUCUUAUUCAAGACUCUUGGUUUCACACUAAUUCCCUUAUCCCACGUCCCAUC
RNAcentral lists this long non-coding RNA (228 nucleotides) under Elaeis guineensis (African oil palm). Its description in RNAcentral is "long non-coding RNA (EGUI_LNC040894)". Lineage: Eukaryota; Viridiplantae; Streptophyta; Magnoliopsida; Arecales; Arecaceae. The record is from RNAcentral.